AUAAAGGCAGAUGCAAGAGCAGCACGGCUACAUACUUCGAAAGUCAUCGAAAAGUGGGUCCUUACAGGACAGACUGAAGCCAGCAGUGCUGAUGUAAAUAGUCAGCUUUGACUGGUUCAUGCAGCUACACCCUGCCUAACACCUAGACCCUGUGAGAAGGAAGAGCAGAGGGGGGAGGAGAGAAGAAUUUCAGAAGUACCUGCAUCAGCAAAUCAUGCAGCCUGCAUCUGUACACGUGCAUGAUUAAUGCGAGAAUGUGUGUAAGAUUCGCAGCGUGGGAUGCGGAGUCGCUGUACUGACAAGCAUGCUCACCCUGCGCCACUGAGCCGGAGGUCGAGGGACAUUCCGUCUGAACCGCGGCUCCCUUCGCAAAUGCCACCACUGGGCUGCCAUUGGACAGUUCAGAUUGGGAGGCUGGGCUCUACGCCCCUUCCCAUCUCGUCCCACACUCGCUGACCAGACUCAAUCAGAUUUAGAGCCCAAAGAGCACAGGGAGGAUCUGAGAAGGGAUGGUGCAGCAUCACACCUGCACACCUAUAGUGAGAAACUUUCAGAGUUGCACCAUAAUCACAACCAAGCGCACCACACUACAACAACCAGCAGGGGUCAGCCACCUGUGGUGGGCUGAUGACUGUGAUGUAUCUCUUCCUGCUCCGGGUUUUGACCCUCAUCAAACAAUAGGGUGGCAGCUGGCUGAAAGGCCCAUCAACACCUCAGCUGGCCUUGACAGACAGCUCCACUCUGGGAAAUUAAAAACACACAUCCCACAGGAGAAACAGCACAGCAAGACCCAAUCAGACAGCCAUAAAUCACUGUGAAGGGAGUGUGAUUCACUUAUUAUGGCUGACGCUGUGAAGGAGAGUGCAAAGCUAACAGGAUGGGACAGCUUCCACGUGAAUUCAGAAGAGGGCCAAAUCUCACAACGUAAUUUUUUAAAAAUUCUGUAACAUGUUUUUGUAUACUGAUCAAUGGUCUCUCUCUUUCUUGUCCACAUGACACUUGUACAUUUUCCUUUCUCUAGUGCUGCUUGUUAAAAUCCCCCAUAUCUAGGCCUUAACAGUUAAUAUUCCUGCAGUCACACUUUACUCUGUUUGAUAAAUAAAGUAUAAAAGUAAAGCUUUAAUUUGAAAGAUGAAUGGACGGUGAACGGCGUGUUCCUGCUCCGAAGCCAGAGAGCCUCAGCAGACACAUUUUAAGAUACACUGGCUCGAGAAAGAAUUGAAGAAGCACUGAGGGCUUAAAGCAACAAACAUCUCUGAAGGAACAUGCAUUACUCUUAACCUGACAGAUUUGUGCUUUUCACUGUGGACAGAACACUGGCUCUGUCAGCUAGGGAACGAAAGCAAAGUGGGAAUAUCCUGGAUGGUUACUGUGCUUUUUUAGUGCCAUUGUGUUAAGUCUCUGGAAGUCUCCGUGCGGACUGGUGCCCAAACAUAAGAUAUUGCCGGUUAAUGGUAGAAAACGCUUGCUUGUAUUUAGUUGUGAAACACGAUGGAGAGCCUGGGAGAGCUAGAGUACCCUCUGCUGGGCAGCAGCCCCAAACAUGGCCCUAACGGACUGCUCAAGGGUAUUUUGGCAAGGAACGAAGAGGACGGUAUACUGCCUCCACUGACUUGGAGGGAUUAUUGCGCUCCACCUGAGUUUCACCAGCCGCAGUUCCUGGACCCAUGCUCCCUUCAAAACAUGCCUGAGCCCUUCUACACAGCAGGCCCGCUGUGGGGUGGUGCCGAUUCCCUCGGCAUGCAUAACAAGGACUACCUGGAGACCACCUUUAUGGACAUUAAUCCAGGGUUCCAGCUGGACAGGAAAAUCCUGGGGGGCGCGAGGGAUAGCCGUAGUGUGUCUUACAGCAUGGAGGAUGAGGAGGACCUGCUGCCGGACUAUGAGCGGCCAGAUUAUUCUGAAGAUGACUGGCGGCCGGCAUCCUCUCCCUGCCAUGACCCCCAGGACUCCUCCAGUGAGGACUACAGUGACACGGAGAGCCAGAGCAGCUUCUCCCUGAUGAUCCCGCAGGACCACCUGGGUCUCGCCUUCUUCUCCAUGCUGUGCUGCUUCUGGCCCCUGGGGAUCGCAGCCUUCUACCUUUCCCAGAAGACCAACAAGGCGGCUGCUCAGGGGGACUUCCAGGCAGCCAGCUCCGCCUCCCGCCAGGCACUUUGGCUUUCUGUGCUCGCCAUCAUCUUCGGCAUCCUGACGUACAUAUGUGCUGUCACCGCCCUCAUCUCCUACCUGUCUGGGAAGCCACCUUAGGGACCACUUACCCCUUUUCCCCAUCCCACCUCACCCCCCACACUCCCAGCCUGGCACUUCCUUUAAUAAAAACACACACCCUCCGCCCCCCUGAAUAUACCUGGUUAGAGUACGACGGAUUUGAACCUGGGAGCAAACAGAAGAGCACUGAUGCAUGACGAUUUGUGCUGCCACCUCUUCCCCCGCUUUCAAAAGUUCCAUCGCGAUGAUCACUAUGGACAGCAGCGUUUGAUAUACCACGGUAACCACGCGGCCACCUGCCUCUUGGCAACCUGGCAACAGUGGGCUUGACGAGGACCACGUUACAAACCACACGUUGAGGCGGGGGCAUGCCACAGUGAUAGCAUGGAUCCUUCCCUCCCCCCUUAAAAGCUGGCGGACACCCUAGAGUGAUAAAAGCGUGAGCAUCCUAAAUAAGACCAGCGUGGAUUCUGUCAGCGGCACAUUAGCAUGAGAAUCCAAACAAACCGCAUCGCGUAAGAAACAGAGAGAGGCAGCGUGACAGGGAUGGGAGAAUGACACUGAGCUGGCAGAACGAGGCCGCCAGCCGGCUGGAGUGGCACAGAAGCCAGCCACUAAUCCCCCAGCACUGGGAUCAUAUAUUAAGGAGUGCUGGGAAUGUCCCGUUGAUAAGCUUUUACUGGGAUUAGAAGAACUGUAACCUAAUUAAAAGCAGAUUUGUUUGAGAGCAGGAGCUGAAGAGACUGCCUCUUGAAUCUUAAUGUUUAAAUGUUGUGCUAUGAGAGGGGCUCACUUGUGAAAGUCCUGUCCUCCUCCACAUCCAGUCCUGAGAGUAAAUUCUAUCAACUGUAGCAUUCAAAUUGACUUUUCACAUAAUAGCUUAGUCACUGAGGGACAGGAACUUCUGUGCUCUUCUGCCCGAGUGGGGCCUGCGGGCGCCUGACCACAUGCUGACUCAGACGGCGGGGCUCGCGGUCAGCUAGCGUCAGCGGCACCCUGCUGUCUCCAGGAUGUCUGUGCCUCGUUCCUCCAGCUCUCUUCUGAACUGUCACUUCAGGUAUGUAGCUGCGUGACUGGAUUCCUGCCUGCGGUGGAGAUGGAACUCAAGGAACCUGACAAAGGGAGUAGCUGACAUUUCUGUGGGGACUGUGCCUCCCCAAGCUGCAGCCUAGGGCCACCUUUCAGGCGGCUGACAGCGCUCUGUAACACGUCUCUCUGGACAGAGAUACCAGCUUGGAGGCCCACUAUCGCUUCCCAAACACGACCAUUAUAUGAAGGGUAAAGGGACUCUUUUCAUGUGAUCACACCUCUCCACAGGAAUGGCAGCCCAAGUCACAUGACCUGCUGCAUCUGAACUGGUGAUGAGAUACAUCCAUUUUCACUGUCCUACUGGAGAAAGGCGUCUGACAUACACAGCUACAAUGUAGCACUCACACUCAGACUGAAAAGAACAGACUAUGUACCUGCUCAAGAAAAAGCAUGUAAAAAAAUUUAAGUAUCUUGAAAAGAUUGCAAAUAGGAAAACUGUCAAGACCAAGGAACCCCUGUGUUCAACGUUGUCUCUGUGUGAAGGAAUGACUGCGGCAUUCUUAU
Brienomyrus brachyistius is the source of this 3804-nucleotide RNA transcript. It is a transcript of the gene named transmembrane protein 91, with no coding region annotated. The record is from RefSeq and is a predicted model, not a curated record. NCBI's taxonomy places the organism in Eukaryota, Metazoa, Chordata, Actinopteri, Osteoglossiformes, Mormyridae. The transcript has 6 exons.